RNAcentral lists this long non-coding RNA (265 nucleotides) under Eutrema salsugineum. Its description in RNAcentral is "long non-coding RNA (ESAL_LNC001695)". Lineage: Eukaryota; Viridiplantae; Streptophyta; Magnoliopsida; Brassicales; Brassicaceae. The record is from RNAcentral.
GAAGAUUACGUAUCCUGUGCCAGCUCGUGAUUCGGUCAAGUUCGUGUAUUUGUUCUGCAAUGUGAUCACCAAGUGCUUUGUGGCGGAACAGAUGAAGAUGGGGAUCAAAGAUGAGAGCAAUGAAGAUAUGAUCAAGGAUUUAGCCGCAUGAUUUCGAUAUAUUCGCAACAAAAGUAUGAAACUUUUUUAUUGGGAUUUAUCUAUAGUUUGCUCUCUUCAGUCUGGAAUAAUUGUUCUUCAGAAUUUGUGGUUUUGAAAUUAUGGG